GACGAACGCUGGCGGCGUGCUUAACACAUGCAAGUCGAACGGAAAGGCCCUGCUUUUGUGGGGUGCUCGAGUGGCGAACGGGUGAGUAACACGUGAGUAACCUGCCCUUGACUUUGGGAUAACUUCAGGAAACUGGGGCUAAUACCGGAUCGGAGCUCCUGCUGCAUGGUGGGGGUUGGAAAGUUUCGGCGGUUGGGGAUGGACUCGCGGCUUAUCAGCUUGUUGGUGGGGUAGUGGCUUACCAAGGCUUUGACGGGUAGCCGGCCUGAGAGGGUGACCGGCCACAUUGGGACUGAGAUACGGCCCAGACUCCUACGGGAGGCAGCAGGGGGGAAUAUUGCACAAUGGGCGGAAGCCUGAUGCAGCAACGCCGCGUGCGGGAUGACGGCCUUCGGGUUGUAAACCGCUUUCGCCUGUGACGAAGCGUGAGUGACGGUAAUGGGUAAAGAAGCACCGGCUAACUACGUG
This 468-nucleotide ribosomal RNA is filed under the name uncultured bacterium. RNAcentral describes it as "partial 16S ribosomal RNA". It matches the Rfam family "Bacterial small subunit ribosomal RNA", at positions 28 to 507 of the family's 1533-position model. The record is from RNAcentral.